GUGGAUUACAGUACAUGUACUAAAAUUGGAAUGAUAUACUAAAAUUGGAAGAUCAGCAUGGCCCCUGCGCAAGGAUGACAUGCAAAUUCAUGACGUGUUCAAUAUUUUU
Non-coding RNA from Homo sapiens (human), 109 nucleotides. NCBI's taxonomy places the organism in Eukaryota, Metazoa, Chordata, Mammalia, Primates, Hominidae. The record is from Rfam.